GAUGAACGCUGGCGGCGUGCCUAAUACAUGCGAGUCGAGCGAACGGACGAGAAGCUUGCUUCUCUGAUGUUAGCGGCGGACGGGUGAGUAACACGUGGAUAACCUACCUAUAAGACUGGGAUAACUUCGGGAAACCGGAGCUAAUACCGGAUAAUAUUUUGAACCGCAUGGUUCAAAAGUGAAAGACGGUCUUGCUGUCACUUAUAGAUGGAUCCGCGCUGCAUUAGCUAGUUGGUAAGGUAACGGCUUACCAAGGCAACGAUGCAUAGCCGACCUGAGAGGGUGAUCGGCCACCCUGGAACUGAGACACGGUCCAGACUCCUACGGGAGGCAGCAGUAGGGAAUCUUCCGCAAUGGGCGAAAGCCUGACGGAGCAACGCCGCGUGAGUGAUGAAGGUCUUCGGAUCGUAAAACUCUGUUAUUAGGGAAGAACAUAUGUGUAAGUAACUGUGCACAUCUUGACGGUACCUAAGCAGAAAGCCACGGCUAACUACGU
RNAcentral lists this ribosomal RNA (496 nucleotides) under uncultured bacterium. RNAcentral's name for it is "partial 16S ribosomal RNA". It matches the Rfam family "Bacterial small subunit ribosomal RNA", at positions 28 to 506 of the family's 1533-position model. The record is from RNAcentral.